This 389-nucleotide ribosomal RNA is filed under the name uncultured bacterium. Its description in RNAcentral is "bacterial SSU rRNA". It matches the Rfam family "Bacterial small subunit ribosomal RNA", at positions 165 to 541 of the family's 1533-position model. The record is from RNAcentral.
AAUACCGCAUAACCAUAGUUACCGCAUGGUAACUAUGUAAAAGGUGGCUAUGCUACCGCUUUUGGAUGGGCCCGCGACGCAUUAGCUAGUUGGUGGGGUAAAGGCUUACCAAGGCAAUGAUGCGUAGCCGAACUGAGAGGUUGAUCGGCCACAUUGGGACUGAUACACGGCCCAAACUCCUACGGGAGGCAGCAGUAGGGAAUCUUCCACAAUGGGCGAAAGCCUGAUGGGGCAACGCCGCGUGGGUGAAGAAGGUCUUCGGAUCGUAAAACCCUGUUGUUAGAGAAAAAAGUGCGUGAGAGUAACUGUUCACGUUUCGACGGUAUCUAACCAGAAAGCCACGGCUAACUACGUGCCAGCAGCCGCGGUAAUACGUAGGUGGCAAGCGU